GACGAACGCUGGCGGCGUGCCUAAUACAUGCAAGUUGAGCGCUGAAGGUUGGUACUUGUACCAACUGGAUGAGCAGCGAACGGGUGAGUGACGCGUGGGGAAUCUGCCUUUGAGCGGGGGACAACAUUUGGAAACGAAUGCUAAUACCGCAUAAAAACUUUAAACACAAGUUUUAGGUUUGAAAGAUGCAAUUGCAUCACUCAAAGAUGAUCCCGCGUUGUAUUAGCUAGUUGGUGAGGUAAAGGCUCACCAAGGCGAUGAUACAUAGCCGACCUGAGAGGGUGAUCGGCCACAUUGGGACUGAGACACGGCCCAAACUCCUACGGGAGGCAGCAGUAGGGAAUCUUCGGCAAUGGACGAAAGUCUGACCGAGCAACGCCGCGUGAGUGAAGAAGGUUUUCGGAUCGUAAAACUCUGUUGGUAGAGAAGAACGUUGGUGAGAGUGGAAAGCUCAUCAAGUGACGGUAACUACCCAGAAAGGGACGGCUAACUACGUG
Molecule: ribosomal RNA, 497 nt
Filed under: uncultured bacterium
Lineage: Bacteria
Description: partial 16S ribosomal RNA
Rfam family: Bacterial small subunit ribosomal RNA
Source: RNAcentral